This 289-nucleotide long non-coding RNA is filed under the name Ananas comosus (pineapple). RNAcentral's name for it is "long non-coding RNA (ACOM_LNC033311)". The record is from RNAcentral. Lineage: Eukaryota; Viridiplantae; Streptophyta; Magnoliopsida; Poales; Bromeliaceae.
CAGGAUUUCCCCUGUACUACGGACAGAGUCUCCCCUGUACGUUCAAGGCAUAGCAAUCAAUACAAUGUGCGAAGUUCCAACCAGGAACACAUUUCAAUCAAGAUUGCAUAAUGGAAGGCAUCAAACAACAUAACACAUCCUAUAUUAUUACAUUCAUUCAUAUUCAUGCAUUUUACAUCACAAUUCUCAAUUGGUUCUUACAUUAACUUUCACUUAACUUCCAAAUACAAUCCGAUUUAACAUGAUUAUUACAACUUGAUUCUUUUCAUUCUUUACAACUCUAAGUAAG